Molecule: long non-coding RNA, 473 nt
Organism: Mesocricetus auratus (golden hamster)
Lineage: Eukaryota; Metazoa; Chordata; Mammalia; Rodentia; Cricetidae
Exons: 3
Source: RefSeq, a predicted model, not a curated record
GCUCACACAAAGACGACCUCAGCGCCCGGGGUUAACACGCCUUUAAUCCCAGCAUUAGGGAGGUGUGUGACAGGAGCAAGGGGAAUAUUUCGGCGUUGAUUCUGCAGCCACGCUGAAGAUAGGAAGGCUCGGUAUCAAGGAUUCGUUCUCCAGGCGCGUUGAGAAUUAGGAACGCCCCAGCCCUGUUAAAGGAACCCUCUCCACAACCUACCGUUUCAGGAAAAGCAGCCGGCUCCAGGGCCACCUUUACAGAACUAAGCAUUGGAUGAUACACGAACUGCGCCAUCUCGAGUCUAGCAGUUGAUUCAGAGGUGGGAUGGCUACAGCUAACAGCAUUUUCUUCCAGCUCACCAGACAGAAAGGCAUAAGUUCCAGAGGAUUCCUUUCACCUCCUCACAGGGAGCUCACUCCUAUCACUGACUUCAGAAUGGAGCAUUAACCCUAGGGUUCAGCAGCAGAGUGGAAACCAUUGG